GACGGGUGAGUAAUGUCUGGGAAACUGCCUGAUGGAGGGGGAUAACUACUGGAAACGGUAGCUAAUACCGCAUAACGUCUUCGGACCAAAGAGGGGGACCUUCGGGCCUCUUGCCAUCAGAUGUGCCCAGAUGGGAUUAGCUAGUAGGUGAGGUAAUGGCUCACCUAGGCGACGAUCCCUAGCUGGUCUGAGAGGAUGACCAGCCACACUGGAACUGAGACACGGUCCAGACUCCUACGGGAGGCAGCAGUGGGGAAUAUUGCACAAUGGGCGCAAGCCUGAUGCAGCCAUGCCGCGUGUAUGAAGAAGGCCUUCGGGUUGUAAAGUACUUUCAGCGAGGAGGAAGGCAUUGUGGUUAAUAACCGCAGUGAUUGACGUUACUCGCAGAAGAAGCACCGGCUAACUCCGUGCCAGCAGCCGCGGUAAUACGGAGGGUGCAAGCGUUAAUCGGAAUU
RNAcentral lists this ribosomal RNA (455 nucleotides) under Buttiauxella sp. RNAcentral's name for it is "bacterial SSU rRNA". It matches the Rfam family "Bacterial small subunit ribosomal RNA", at positions 100 to 552 of the family's 1533-position model. The record is from RNAcentral. Lineage: Bacteria; Pseudomonadati; Pseudomonadota; Gammaproteobacteria; Enterobacterales; Enterobacteriaceae.